UGACAAAAUUCAACGGCCACGGUAUCCUGACCGCGCGAAGGUAGCAUAAUAACUCGUUCUUUAAAUGGGGACUUGUAUCAACGGCAUCACGAGGGUUACACUGUCUCCUUUUUCUAAUCAGUGAAACUAAUCUCCCCGUGAAGAAGCGAGGAUAUCCAUAUAAGACGAGAAGACCCCAUGGAGCUUCAAACCCAAUUACACCCCCAACUUCCAUAACUACUGAACUUAAGGGGACCCUGUACAAUUGGUUUUAGGUUGGGGCGACCACGGAGUAUAACAAAACCUCCACAAUGAACGGAACUAAUUCCUUAUAUAAGAAAUACACCUCUAAUAAUUAAAAUAUUAACAUAAAAUGAUCCACUUUUUGAUCAAUGAACCAAGUUACCCUGGGGAUAACAGCGCAAUCCAUUUCAAGAGCCCCUAUCGACAAAUGGGUUUACGACCUCGAUGUUGGAUCAGGGUAUCCUAGUGGUGUAGCAGCUACUAACGGUUCGUUUGUUCAACGAUUAAAACCCUAC
Molecule: ribosomal RNA, 518 nt
Filed under: Mantidactylus fergusoni
Lineage: Eukaryota; Metazoa; Chordata; Amphibia; Anura; Mantellidae
Description: partial large subunit ribosomal RNA
Rfam family: Bacterial large subunit ribosomal RNA
Source: RNAcentral